RNAcentral lists this ribosomal RNA (406 nucleotides) under uncultured bacterium. RNAcentral's name for it is "partial 16S ribosomal RNA". It matches the Rfam family "Bacterial small subunit ribosomal RNA", at positions 29 to 526 of the family's 1533-position model. The record is from RNAcentral.
AUUGAACGCUGGCGGCAGGCCUAACACAUGCAAGUCGAACGAGUGGCGGACGGGUGAGUAAUGUCUGGGAAACUGCCUGAUGGAGGGGGAUAACUACUGGAAACGGUAGCUAAUACCGCAUACCAUCGGAUGUGCCCAGAUGGGAUUAGCUAGUAGGUGGGGUAAAGGCUCACCUAGGCGACGAUCCCUAGCUGGUCUGAGAGGAUGACAGGCGAACCUGGAACUAAGACACGGACCAGACGCAUGAGGGAGGCACCAGGGGGGUAUAUGGCACAAGGGGCGAAAGCCGGAUGCAGCCAUGCCGCGUGUAUGAAUAAGGCCUGCGGGUGGUAAAGUACUUUCGGCGGGGAGGCGUUACCCGCAGAAGAAGCACCGGCUAACUCCGUGCCAGCAGCCGCGGUAAUAC